AUACGGCAGAUUCUUGAAUGGGAUCUCCAGCCGCCCAGUGCGUGCCACCUGGCUCACCUUCCCCGGAGCCAGGCGGAACGGGCCAGGCGCGGAUGGGGAUCCGGUCCAAGAAUCGUCGGGUUUAAA
Molecule: non-coding RNA, 126 nt
Organism: Arthrobacter crystallopoietes BAB-32
Lineage: Bacteria; Bacillati; Actinomycetota; Actinomycetes; Micrococcales; Micrococcaceae
Source: Rfam